CCUACGGGAGGCAGCAGUGAGGAAUAUUGGUCAAUGGACGCAAGUCUGAACCAGCCAUGCCGCGUGCGGGAAGACGGCUCUAUGAGUUGUAAACUGCUUUUGUAGGAGGGUAAACGCAGAUACGCGUAUCUGUCUGAGAGUAUCCUACGAAAAAGGAUCGGCUAACUCCGUGCCAGCAGCCGCGGUAAUACGGAGGAUGCAAGCGUUAUCCGGAUUUAUUGGGUUUAAAGGGUGCGUAGGCGGUCGGAUAAGUUCGUGGUGAAAUCCCGGGGCUCAACUUCGGACUUGCCUCUGAUCCUGUUCGGCUAGAGCGUAGUUGCGGUAGGCGGAAUGUAUGGUGUAGCGGUGAAAUGCUUAGAGAUCAUGCAGAACUCCGAUUGCGAAGGCAGCUUACCAAGCUACUUCUGACGCUGAGGCACGAAAGCGUGGGGAUCAAACAGGAUUAGAUACCCUUGUAGUC
RNAcentral lists this ribosomal RNA (460 nucleotides) under uncultured bacterium. RNAcentral's name for it is "partial 16S ribosomal RNA". It matches the Rfam family "Bacterial small subunit ribosomal RNA", at positions 338 to 795 of the family's 1533-position model. The record is from RNAcentral.